RNAcentral lists this ribosomal RNA (253 nucleotides) under uncultured bacterium. RNAcentral's name for it is "partial 16S ribosomal RNA". It matches the Rfam family "Bacterial small subunit ribosomal RNA", at positions 524 to 776 of the family's 1533-position model. The record is from RNAcentral.
UACGUAGGCAGCAAGCGUUGUUCGGAGUUACUGGGCGUAAAGGGUGUGUAGGCGGUUCUUUAAGUUUGGUGUGAAAUCUCCCGGCUCAACCGGGAGGGUGCGCCGAAUACUGAGUGACUAGAGUGCGGGAGAGGAAAGUGGAAUUCCUGGUGUAGCGGUGAAAUGCGUAGAUAUCGGGAAGAACACCCGUGGCGAAGGCGGCUCUCUGGGACGGUACUGACGCUGAGACGCGAAAGCGUGGGGAGCGAACAGG